GGCGGCGGCGGCAAGGGCAUGCGCGUCGCCUUCACCGACGCCGAGGUCAUCGAGGGCUUCACCCGCGCGCGUUCCGAGGCCGCGUCCUCCUUCG
Molecule: transfer RNA, 94 nt
Filed under: Methylocystis echinoides
Lineage: Bacteria; Pseudomonadati; Pseudomonadota; Alphaproteobacteria; Hyphomicrobiales; Methylocystaceae
Description: tRNA-Glu
Source: RNAcentral